GGAGCACCUACCGAAGUAUCUAAGCUGAUACCAUAUUGAGACUAGAAUCUCUCUGUAAAAUAUAACUUGUAUUUUGCGUACUAAUAAUGGUUGAUUACAUUGCUUAUUUAUACUAACUUUUUUAAUUAAUUAUCCUAUCUAACUAAUUGUAGUUCAGUUCUCACAGACUCCUCGGCUUGGAAGGCGGCACUACGUCACCGGACACAAAUUGCGGAAUACGCGCUACUGGGACCGCACAACGCUAAGUCGUGGAAAGGAAGUGGAGGGGGGAAUUCAAUCAAGAAUAUCAUAGUUACGCUCCGCCCGUAAUUCCCCAAGGACGACUUGGCCAGGGGCAUCUAGGCAAUCAAGAUCGGCAAGGUGGCAUUGAAUAUGUGGAGAAUUCGUUGGCGUAAUCUACUCACGAAAGAUAGGCUCAUCGGGCGCAGAAUGGCAAUAACAGAGAACAGGAGACGAUGGACCACCUCCUUUUCGGAUGCUACUACUCUAACUCCGGGAAGUGAUGGAAGCGGCGGGGUUGCUGGUGAAGCUGGAGAAUGUCGGUUCGUUCGAGGGAGCGACAAUUGAGCUAAACAAGAUCACGAAAGGUUCGCCUGUCUGGGGGUUGUAAUGGACAAUAUUUGGAAUCGUUCUCUUCCAAAUCUGGAAGGAACGCAACUUGCGCAGAAUGCAGGGGAAGUCCGAUUCAAAGCAGGGGCUACUCAGACGAUGCAUAGCGAUGGCGGAGAUAGGCUUCGACGAGCGGAAAUACAAGAGGAGAUCAAAAAACGGUAAGGAACACAACGCGUUGCUGCAAUGAGACGCGCUGAUGCCGCUCAUCCAUGACAAGGAUGGCGGGGGUUAGCGUCGGCUAGCCGUCGGGCAAUUAGGUAGGUCAUUAAAUUUAAUCUAGGUUUAAAUUCGUAACAACUAUAUAAACACUCUUUUAAAUUAAUACUAAAGUAAUCUUUACCAAAAAAAAAAAAAUUACCAACCAUCAUAAACCACAUAUAGCAAAAUUAGUAGAUCGGAUAACCAGCAGCCCAGAGUGAUUGGGUAUGCUACUGCCAUCUCCAUUCAUCAUCUAUGGUGAGUUCAUCUAGAUCGGAUCUAUUCCUAUCUUCUUUUCACACAUCAUCUAUUCUUACCUUCCCAUCACUCAUAUACAUUAUCUUGAUUAAAAAUCUAACACUCGCCAUACCUGAUCCUCCGCUAAUUAAACCGAGCCACACACCUUCCACACCACGUUACGUACCGGUGCUCCCCUAUAGAUCCUCUGGUCACACUGCCAAACCUGGUAUUUCUUUGCCCUAGCCGUUCUCCUCUUUCUCUUCUUUUUCUUUUCAUUUCACUUUCCUUUUUAUGGUAUGUUAUUUC
RNAcentral lists this long non-coding RNA (1356 nucleotides) under Zostera marina. RNAcentral describes it as "long non-coding RNA (ZMAR_LNC006114)". Lineage: Eukaryota; Viridiplantae; Streptophyta; Magnoliopsida; Alismatales; Zosteraceae. The record is from RNAcentral.